This 517-nucleotide long non-coding RNA is filed under the name Pogona vitticeps (central bearded dragon). RNAcentral's name for it is "lncRNA (ENSPVIG00000015282.1)". The record is from RNAcentral. Lineage: Eukaryota; Metazoa; Chordata; Lepidosauria; Squamata; Agamidae.
GGGGCAACCAUGAUUCGUCCAUGCUGUGCUGUAAACAGUUGUGACCAAAGAGGACUCUGCUUCAUAAGAAGAUUCCAAGAGUUUAAUCUCUUCAAGCCUCUCAAGGAAGGACAGGCCAUCAACAGAGAAACACAGACAGGAACCCCUCCCUGUGCUAGGACAGCAGAGAAAUGGUAAAACUGAACACAACAAUGGAUGUGGCUAUUUGAAACAGGGACAAAGAAGAGACAUUGGAAUACCUUGCAUGGGCAAAAUGGAGGCAGCAAGGCUGAAGUUGGGAGGAUCAGAGGAUGAUUGCCUCAUCUCUAUCACAUGAGGAUGCUACAGCAAUAGGAGCCUGUUUCAUAGUUACAAUUUUUGGGAAGGAUCUCUAUUUUUUAUUUGGCUUAGAAAUGCUAUAUGGUGCUGGCAGCAGAAUAUAUUUUGGCAUGUUUUUGCAGCAAUUAUAAAAGUAUUUGGUUUCUGAGGAAGUGGAUUUUGUCCCAGAAAUAAAAUGGUUAGUCUUUAAAAUGCUACA